ACUAACAGCGUGCCGGCAGCCGCGGUAACGCGUGGGGGGCAAGCGUUGUCCGGAGUUAUUGGGCGUAAAGAGCUCGUAGGUGGCUAAGUAAGUCGGAUGUUAAAUCCCCAGGCUCAACCGGGGACACCACCCGAUACUGCUUUGGCUAGAGUCCGGUAGGGGAGCGUGGAAUUCCUGGUGUAGCGGUGAAAUGCGCAGAUAUCAGGAGGAACACCAGCGGCGAAGGCGGCGCUCUGGGCCGGUACUGACACUGAGGAGCGAAAGCGUGGGUAGCAAACAGGAUUAGAUACCCGUGUAGUC
RNAcentral lists this ribosomal RNA (300 nucleotides) under uncultured bacterium. RNAcentral describes it as "bacterial SSU rRNA". It matches the Rfam family "Bacterial small subunit ribosomal RNA", at positions 496 to 795 of the family's 1533-position model. The record is from RNAcentral.